AAGAAGCACCGGCUAACUACGUGCCAGCAGCCGCGGUAAUACGUAGGGUGCGAGCGUUAAUCGGAAUUACUGGGCGUAAAGCGUGCGCAGGCGGCUUUUUAAGCCAGAUGUGAAAUCCCCGGGCUUAACCUGGGAACUGCAUUUGUGACUGGAAGGCUAGAGUGUAGCAGAGGGGGGUAGAAUUCCACGUGUAGCAGUGAAAUGCGUAGAUAUGUGGAGGAAUACCGAUGGCGAAGGCAGCCCCCUGGGUUAACACUGACGCUCAUGCACGAAAGCGUGGGGAGCAA
Molecule: ribosomal RNA, 287 nt
Filed under: uncultured beta proteobacterium
Lineage: Bacteria; Pseudomonadati; Pseudomonadota; Betaproteobacteria
Description: partial 16S ribosomal RNA
Rfam family: Bacterial small subunit ribosomal RNA
Source: RNAcentral